CCUACGGGCGGCAGCAGUGAGGAAUAUUGGUCAAUGGACGCUAGUCUGAACCAGCCAAGUAGCGUGAAGGAUGACUGCCCUAUGGGUUGUAAACUUCUUUUAUAAAGGAAUAAAACGAGGCACGUAUGCUUUUUUGCAUGUACUUUAUGAAUAAGGAUCGGCUAACUCCGUGCCAGCAGCCGCGGUAAUACGGAGGAUCCGAGCGUUAUCCGGAUUUAUUGGGUUUAAAGGGAGCGUAGAUGGGUUGUUAAGUCAGUUGUGAAAGUUUGCGGCUCAACCGUAAAAUUGCAAUUGAUACUGGCAGUCUUGAGUACAGUUGAGGUAGGCGGAAUUCGUGGUGUAGCGGUGAAAUGCUUAGAUAUCACGAAGAACUCCGAUUGUGAAGGCAGCCUACUAAACUGUGACUGACAUUGAUGCUCGAAAGUGUGGGUAUCAAACAGGAUUAGAUACCCUUGUAGUC
This 460-nucleotide ribosomal RNA is filed under the name uncultured bacterium. RNAcentral's name for it is "partial 16S ribosomal RNA". It matches the Rfam family "Bacterial small subunit ribosomal RNA", at positions 338 to 795 of the family's 1533-position model. The record is from RNAcentral.